Long non-coding RNA from Lemur catta (Ring-tailed lemur), 1342 nucleotides. RefSeq lists it as uncharacterized. The record is from RefSeq and is a predicted model, not a curated record. The transcript has 7 exons. Lineage: Eukaryota; Metazoa; Chordata; Mammalia; Primates; Lemuridae.
UGGGCGGGGCGGAGGGAGCCGGGAAGCGGAAGCGGCGAGCGCGCCGGGAGCGCAGCUGCGGGCCUGGGGGCGGCAGGAGCCGCGGAGCCGGCCCGGGAGCGGGGCUGCCGGAGCGGGCGGCCGAGACAAUGGCGACGAUAUCUUUGUUAUCUGACAAGAGUCAUCCUAAACAAAAUACAUCAGCCAAGAAAGACGGUUUAAAAAAUGGUGAUAUAAAUGUAGACUUUGAUCAACUGAAACUUGAUGAUAAAGGCUGAUUGAAGGUCUCAUUUGCAGAAAUACCAAGUUUCUGAAAUUUCAAUUUAUGAUUCUUCUACUAAUUACAGACAUGCAUCUCUUGCUUUCCAAAAAAAAGAAAACAGUGAUGUAAAGAUGGCUGUGAAAGGAAUGAUGCCAAAAAGAGUGAAAACUCAGCCCAGAAGAGGGAAGAACAGAUGGACUCAAGAGACAUUUGAGGGGACCAUUCAGUCUAGCCUGGGAGGGAAAAAAAUGAAACUGCAAAGAAAUGUCAAGCACAUGAACACAGCUAGACAACAAUCCAAGGCAAGAUGAAUGUCAGAAGAUUUUGGCAUCCUGGAAAAAACUCACCAUGGACUUUGGUUAUUCAGAAUUAGCUACUUCUGUAAGGCUAUCAUGUAAAAUAAAAUAAUAAUGAUAACAGUGGUAAAGUAUACCUGCCAUCCACUUUCACAAUAAGAUACAUAAGAAGAAUAAGUCAAUAUAGAUUGAAAGGAGAAUACAAUGAAUAAUUCCAUGAAGAAUCCUUGGAAUUACAUAAGCAGCAUAAUAACAGAAAAAUCACAAGAUUGUUGUCAGCUGGGAAGAUGGUGGAGGUAACAGUUUUAAACUGGCCCCUGAACCUCCUAGACAGAGUUACUGGAAGAGAAGCAAACAAAACAAAGCAAAAGGCCCUUGGACAACAUCUACAGUACCAAAAAAAUUAAGUGAUAAGGAGUCCUGUGAAUCCCAAAAUUUGAGCAGUCAGGACAAAUCUGCAAGAGCUACAGUUGCAAUUGGUACUGACAGCUACAGAGGACAAGGAGGGACAUGGCGGGGAAUCUAGGGGAGCUGAGCACAGGAGGACCAACCUCGCGGCUGCAAUGGACAGAGUGAGACACCCUCACGUGAGACGAUUCACAGUAACGCACGGAUCCACGGUAAAGUCCUCAGGAGCUGGAGCACAACAGUCCUCUGGACACCCAAAAUUAGGCAAAGCUCCCUUCCAGGACAAAGCCCCACAUUAUAGAGAAGUGUGAGGAAUUAAAGUAUCAAAUACUACUGGAGUCAGUUAAAAAGACCUUUAGUAUAAGAAAGGGUGGUUCAAGGAAAAAUGGGGGAAAGA